UUAAGCGACUAAGCGUACACGGUGGAUGCCCUGGCAGUCAGAGGCGAUGAAGGACGUGCUAAUCUGCGAUAAGCGUCGGUAAGGUGAUAUGAACCGUUAUAACCGGCGAUUUCCGAAUGGGGAAACCCAGUGUGUUUCGACACACUAUCAUUAACUGAAUCCAUAGGUUAAUGAGGCGAACCGGGGGAACUGAAACAUCUAAGUACCCCGAGGAAAAGAAAUCAACCGAGAUUCCCCCAGUAGCGGCGAGCGAACGGGGAGGAGCCCAGAGCCUGAAUCAGUGUGUGUGUUAGUGGAAGCGUCUGGAAAGGCGCGCGAUACAGGGUGACAGCCCCGUACACAAAAAUGCACAUGCUGUGAGCUCGAUGAGUAGGGCGGGACACGUGGUAUCCUGUCUGAAUAUGGGGGGACCAUCCUCCAAGGCUAAAUACUCCUGACUGACCGAUAGUGAACCAGUACCGUGAGGGAAAGGCGAAAAGAACCCCGGCGAGGGGAGUGAAAAAGAACCUGAAACCGUGUACGUACAAGCAGUGGGAGCACGCUUAGGCGUGUGACUGCGUACCUUUUGUAUAAUGGGUCAGCGACUUAUAUUCUGUAGCAAGGUUAACCGAAUAGGGGAGCCGAAGGGAAACCGAGUCUUAACUGGGCGUUAAGUUGCAGGGUAUAGACCCGAAACCCGGUGAUCUAGCCAUGGGCAGGUUGAAGGUUGGGUAACACUAACUGGAGGACCGAACCGACUAAUGUUGAAAAAUUAGCGGAUGACUUGUGGCUGGGGGUGAAAGGCCAAUCAAACCGGGAGAUAGCUGGUUCUCCCCGAAAGCUAUUUAGGUAGCGCCUCGUGAAUUCAUCUCCGGGGGUAGAGCACUGUUUCGGCAAGGGGGUCAUCCCGACUUACCAACCCGAUGCAAACUGCGAAUACCGGAGAAUGUUAUCACGGGAGACACACGGCGGGUGCUAACGUCCGUCGUGAAGAGGGAAACAACCCAGACCGCCAGCUAAGGUCCCAAAGUCAUGGUUAAGUGGGAAACGAUGUGGGAAGGCCCAGACAGCCAGGAUGUUGGCUUAGAAGCAGCCAUCAUUUAAAGAAAGCGUAAUAGCUCACUGGUCGAGUCGGCCUGCGCGGAAGAUGUAACGGGGCUAAACCAUGCACCGAAGCUGCGGCAGCGACGCUGAUGCGUUGUUGGGUAGGGGAGCGUUCUGUAAGCCUGCGAAGGUGUGCUGUGAGGCAUGCUGGAGGUAUCAGAAGUGCGAAUGCUGACAUAAGUAACGAUAAAGCGGGUGAAAAGCCCGCUCGCCGGAAGACCAAGGGUUCCUGUCCAACGUUAAUCGGGGCAGGGUGAGUCGACCCCUAAGGCGAGGCCGAAAGGCGUAGUCGAUGGGAAACAGGUUAAUAUUCCUGUACUUGGUGUUACUGCGAAGGGGGGACGGAGAAGGCUAUGUUGGCCGGGCGACGGUUGUCCCGGUUUAAGCGUGUAGGCUGGUUUUCCAGGCAAAUCCGGAAAAUCAAGGCUGAGGCGUGAUGACGAGGCACUACGGUGCUGAAGCAACAAAUGCCCUGCUUCCAGGAAAAGCCUCUAAGCAUCAGGUAACAUCAAAUCGUACCCCAAACCGACACAGGUGGUCAGGUAGAGAAUACCAAGGCGCUUGAGAGAACUCGGGUGAAGGAACUAGGCAAAAUGGUGCCGUAACUUCGGGAGAAGGCACGCUGAUAUGUAGGUGAAGCGACUUGCUCGUGGAGCUGAAAUCAGUCGAAGAUACCAGCUGGCUGCAACUGUUUAUUAAAAACACAGCACUGUGCAAACACGAAAGUGGACGUAUACGGUGUGACGCCUGCCCGGUGCCGGAAGGUUAAUUGAUGGGGUUAGCGCAAGCGAAGCUCUUGAUCGAAGCCCCGGUAAACGGCGGCCGUAACUAUAACGGUCCUAAGGUAGCGAAAUUCCUUGUCGGGUAAGUUCCGACCUGCACGAAUGGCGUAAUGAUGGCCAGGCUGUCUCCACCCGAGACUCAGUGAAAUUGAACUCGCUGUGAAGAUGCAGUGUACCCGCGGCAAGACGGAAAGACCCCGUGAACCUUUACUAUAGCUUGACACUGAACAUUGAGCCUUGAUGUGUAGGAUAGGUGGGAGGCUUAGAAGUGUGGACGCCAGUCUGCAUGGAGCCGACCUUGAAAUACCACCCUUUAAUGUUUGAUGUUCUAACGUUGACCCGUAAUCCGGGUUGCGGACAGUGUCUGGUGGGUAGUUUGACUGGGGCGGUCUCCUCCUAAAGAGUAACGGAGGAGCACGAAGGUUGGCUAAUCCUGGUCGGACAUCAGGAGGUUAGUGCAAUGGCAUAAGCCAGCUUGACUGCGAGCGUGACGGCGCGAGCAGGUGCGAAAGCAGGUCAUAGUGAUCCGGUGGUUCUGAAUGGAAGGGCCAUCGCUCAACGGAUAAAAGGUACUCCGGGGAUAACAGGCUGAUACCGCCCAAGAGUUCAUAUCGACGGCGGUGUUUGGCACCUCGAUGUCGGCUCAUCACAUCCUGGGGCUGAAGUAGGUCCCAAGGGUAUGGCUGUUCGCCAUUUAAAGUGGUACGCGAGCUGGGUUUAGAACGUCGUGAGACAGUUCGGUCCCUAUCUGCCGUGGGCGCUGGAGAACUGAGGGGGGCUGCUCCUAGUACGAGAGGACCGGAGUGGACGCAUCACUGGUGUUCGGGUUGUCAUGCCAAUGGCACUGCCCGGUAGCUAAAUGCGGAAGAGAUAAGUGCUGAAAGCAUCUAAGCACGAAACUUGCCCCGAGAUGAGUUCUCCCUGACUCCUUGAGAGUCCUGAAGGAACGUUGAAGACGACGACGUUGAUAGGCCGGGUGUGUAAGCGCAGCGAUGCGUUGAGCUAACCGGUACUAAUGAACCGUGAGGCUUAACCUU
Molecule: ribosomal RNA, 2902 nt
Filed under: Escherichia coli
Lineage: Bacteria; Pseudomonadati; Pseudomonadota; Gammaproteobacteria; Enterobacterales; Enterobacteriaceae
Description: bacterial LSU rRNA
Rfam family: Bacterial large subunit ribosomal RNA
Source: RNAcentral